AAUUUUUUAAAAAUUUUAGUAACAUAUAUUGUACUUUUGGUUUCAGAAUAGAAUUUAGUGAUUCAUCACUUACAUAUAACAUCCAGGGCUUAUCACAAGUGCCCUCUUUAAUGCU
Molecule: long non-coding RNA, 115 nt
Organism: Mustela erminea (ermine)
Lineage: Eukaryota; Metazoa; Chordata; Mammalia; Carnivora; Mustelidae
Exons: 4
Source: RefSeq, a predicted model, not a curated record